RNAcentral lists this ribosomal RNA (258 nucleotides) under uncultured bacterium. RNAcentral describes it as "partial 16S ribosomal RNA". It matches the Rfam family "Bacterial small subunit ribosomal RNA", at positions 793 to 1055 of the family's 1533-position model. The record is from RNAcentral.
GUCCACGCCGUAAACGGUGGCGCUAGGUGUGGGAACAUUCCACGUUCUCCGUGCCGCAGCUAACGCAUUAAGCGCCCGCCUGGGGAGUACGGCCGCAAGGCUAAACUCAAAGGAAUUGACGGGGCCCGCACAAGCGGCGGAGCAUGCGGCUUAAUUCGAUGCAACGCGAAGAACCUUACCUAGGCUUGACAGUUGGGGAAAUCUGGCAGAGAUGUCAGGUCCGCAAGGGCCCCAAAACAGGUGGUGCAUGGCUGUCGU